GACGAACGCUGGCGGCGUGCUUAACACAUGCAAGUCGAACGAUGAAGCCUAGCUUGCUAGGUGGAUUAGUGGCGAACGGGUGAGUAAUACGUGAGUAACCUACCUUUAACUCUGGGAUAAGCCCGGGAAACUGGGUCUAAUACCGGAUACGACCAAUCUCCGCAUGGGGUGUUGGUGGAAAGCGUUAUGUAGUGGUUAUAGAUGGGCCCACGGCCUAUCAGCUUGUUGGUGAGGUAACGGCUCACCAAGGCGACGACGGGUAGCCGGCCUGAGAGGGUGACCGGCCACACUGGGACUGAGACACGGCCCAGACUCCUACGGGAGGCAGCAGUGGGGAAUAUUGCACAAUGGGCGCAAGCCUGAUGCAGCGACGCCGCGUGAGGGAUGACGGCCUUCGGGUUGUAAACCUCUGUUAGCAGGGAAGAAGAGAGAUUGACGGUACCUGCAGAGAAAGCGCCGGCUAACUACGUGCCAGCAGCCGCGGUAAUACGUAGGGCGCGAGCGUUGUCCGGAAUUAUUGGGCGUAAAGAGCUUGUAGGCGGUUUGUCGCGUCUGCUGUGAAGGCCGGGGCUUAACUCCGUGUAUUGCAGUGGGUACGGGCAGACUAGAGUGCAGUAGGGGAGACUGGAAUUCCUGGUGUAGCGGUGGAAUGCGCAGAUAUCAGGAGGAACACCGAUGGCGAAGGCAGGUCUCUGGGCCGUAACUGACGCUGAGAAGCGAAAGCAUGGGGAGCGAACAGGAUUAGAUACCCUGGUAGUCCAUGCCGUAAACGUUGGGCACUAGGUGUGGGGGACAUUCCACGUUUUCCGCGCCGUAGCUAACGCAUUAAGUGCCCCGCCUGGGGAGUACGGCCGCAAGGCUAAAACUCAAAGAAAUUGACGGGGGCCCGCACAAGCGGCGGAGCAUGCGGAUUAAUUCGAUGCAACGCGAAGAACCUUACCAAGGCUUGACAUAUACUGGACCGCAUCAGAGAUGGUGUUUCCCUUCGGGGCUGGUAUACAGGUGGUGCAUGGUUGUCGUCAGCUCGUGUCGUGAGAUGUUGGGUUAAGUCCCGCAACGAGCGCAACCCUCGUUCUAUGUUGCCAGCACGUUAUGGUGGGGACUCAUAGGAGACUGCCGGGGUCAACUCGGAGGAAGGUGGGGAUGACGUCAAAUCAUCAUGCCCCUUAUGUCUUGGGCUUCACGCAUGCUACAAUGGCCGGUACAGAGGGUUGCGAUACUGUGAGGUGGAGCUAAUCCCUAAAAGCCGGUCUCAGUUCGGAUUGGGGUCUGCAACUCGACCCCAUGAAGUCGGAGUCGCUAGUAAUAUCAGAUAAGCAACAACGCGGCGAAGAAGUUGCCGGGCUU
This 1347-nucleotide ribosomal RNA is filed under the name uncultured bacterium. RNAcentral's name for it is "bacterial SSU rRNA". It matches the Rfam family "Bacterial small subunit ribosomal RNA", at positions 28 to 1381 of the family's 1533-position model. The record is from RNAcentral.